UACGAAGGGGGCUAGCGUUGCUCGGAAUCACUGGGCGUAAAGGGUGCGUAGGCGGGUCUUUAAGUCAGGGGGGAAAUCCUGGAGCUCAACUCCAGAACUGCCUUUGAUACUGAGGAUCUUGAGUUCGGGAGAGGUGAGUGGAACUGCGAGUGUAGAGGUGAAAUUCGUAGAUAUUCGCAAGAACACCAGUGGCGAAGGCGGCUCACUGGCCCGAUACUGACGCUGAGGCACUAAAUCGUGGGGAGCAAACAGG
Molecule: ribosomal RNA, 253 nt
Filed under: uncultured bacterium
Lineage: Bacteria
Description: partial 16S ribosomal RNA
Rfam family: Bacterial small subunit ribosomal RNA
Source: RNAcentral